AUCCACGCCAUACCACCCUGAACGCGCCCGAUCUCGUCUGAUCUCGGAAGCUAAAGAAGGAUUUAUAUGUUAUUGGUUGUUUGUGAAUA
This 89-nucleotide ribosomal RNA is filed under the name Mesocricetus auratus (golden hamster). The record is from RNAcentral. Lineage: Eukaryota; Metazoa; Chordata; Mammalia; Rodentia; Cricetidae.